CCCAGCAUAGUAACAAGCAAAUAGAUUUGUUUUGUGAGCAUUCUCUUAUAUUAAGAUGAUGGCUACUACUCUAACCUGCACUGCUUCCCUUCUCUGUUCCCUCCUCCUCAUCUAUUCUUCAGCCCAAACUUCUCCAACAGUUCCCUUGAAAUCCUUACCAUGCAUAUCUCCUUAGAAUUUUCUGUUAUUAUAAGAGAACAAUGCUUGUUUGUGGUGUUAAGAUCCCAACUUGGUGGAUAGAAGAGCUCUAGGUGUAAUGUUUGUGUAUCAUGGUAUAUAGCACUAUGUGUUUGUUGAAAUGCCAACACUGUAUGCAAACAUUGGCAGUACAAGUACUGGUGCCGAAAGCUGAAGCGGCGACAUGCCAGGCAACUCUCGCGCCCGGCGGCUGCAACCUUUCCUUGUGCAGACGGCGGUGCUUUCAACAGACUAACGGCAACGGAGUCUGUGUCGCCAAUGGUAAGAGGACCGACUAUUCGUGCGUAUGCACGUAUAAAUGUCAAAGUUAGAGGCUUUCCAGUUUUAUCUUUUAACUUUGGUGAGCUUCAUGAAUUUAUAGCUUUGUGACGAAAUGUCGGUUGCUUGCGUGUUCUGAAAUUAAUAUGGAAGUUGAAAAUGCUGAUACUCACACUAGUAGUCUCCUCCAGGAUCAUGAUCUUGGUUCCUUUUCAUUGUGGUGUUGUACAACAUGCUCUUCAAGGAUUAAUAACAUUUUUUGAGAGAUUUAAAACUGCUUUUGCAGCCUUAGUUUUGGAAACAGAUUCUAUAUUCCGAAGUGUCUGACAAAUAACAGGUUUCCGAUUCCUGAGAUUUCUGCCCAAGCAGAAGUUUUAGUUUAAGAUUUCUGCCUCUUAUUGUGGCAGAAGUCUUUUCAGAAACUUUUUCAGAACAGUUGUUGGUUCCUUUUUAAACAGUCAUCCUUAAAACAACUCGGCAGUUUUGCAAAAGCUCUAGCUCGGACAAACAGACUCUGGAGGGUUAGAUUUUGUAGAAGUGAGUUAGCAAGAUAUCGUAGUAUGAUUAGUUUGGGAACAGAAAUGCAAAAGCUUUUGAACUUCACCCAUUUUAUGUGCCUGAUUGCACUGACUGGGUCGUCGAACAUAGUACGAUUAUGGAAGCACUUGAGUUAAAAGUGCUUUUGGAUUCUUGUCGAACACCGUAAGUUUGUGUGUGUGAAGUAGUUCCAAACUGUGCCUUCAAAUCUAAUUUGUUCUGCUUCUGUUUUCAUCAGGUCCUGCUGUAACUGUCUUGUUUUAUUCAACUGAGCUUGGCUCUUCGAAACAAAUCUUUGGUUGUUA
Ananas comosus (pineapple) is the source of this 1298-nucleotide long non-coding RNA. RefSeq lists it as uncharacterized. Lineage: Eukaryota; Viridiplantae; Streptophyta; Magnoliopsida; Poales; Bromeliaceae. The record is from RefSeq and is a predicted model, not a curated record. The transcript is spliced from 2 exons.